UCUUUUUAGUAUAAAUAUAAAGUCUGGCCUGCCCGCUGAUUGUUGAAUGGCCGCGGUAUUUUGACCGUGCUAAGGUAGCAUAAUCAUUAGUUUUUUAAUUGAAAGCUAGAAUGAAGGGUUGGAUGAGAAAUUAGCUGUCUCUAUUAAAUUAUAAUAGAAUUUUAUUUUUAAGUUCAAAAGCUUAAAUAUUUUUAAAAGACGAGAAGACCCUAUAGAGUUUUAUAUAGUUAAUUAAAUUUUUAUUUAGAAUUUAGUUAAAAGUUUAGGUGCUAUAUUUAAUUGGGGUGAUUAAAAAAUUUAAUAAACUUUUUUUUAUUUAAAUAUUAAUUUAUAGAUGAUUGAUCUGAAGUUUUUGAUUAUAAGAUUAAAUUACCUUAGGGAUAACAGCGUAAUUUUAUUAGAGAGUUCAUAUCGAUAAUAAAGAUUGCGACCUCGAUGUUGGAUUAAAA
Molecule: ribosomal RNA, 449 nt
Filed under: Mandarella sp. (Stenoluperus) 2 BMNH 831453
Lineage: Eukaryota; Metazoa; Arthropoda; Insecta; Coleoptera; Chrysomelidae
Description: partial 16S ribosomal RNA
Source: RNAcentral